This 241-nucleotide ribosomal RNA is filed under the name uncultured bacterium. RNAcentral describes it as "partial 16S ribosomal RNA". It matches the Rfam family "Bacterial small subunit ribosomal RNA", at positions 330 to 566 of the family's 1533-position model. The record is from RNAcentral.
GCCUGCCUACGGGGCGCAGCAGUAGGGAAUCUUCCACAAUGGACGAAAGUCUGAUGGAGCAACGCCGCGUGAGUGAAGAAGGGUUUCGGCUCGUAAAGCUCUGUUGGUAGUGAAGAAAGAUAGAGGUAGUAACUGGCCUUUAUUUGACGGUAAUUACUUAGAAAGUCACGGCUAACUACGUGCCAGCAGCCGCGGUAAUACGUAGGUUGCAAGCGUUGUCCGGAUUUAUUGGGCGUAAAAC